GUACCGUGAGGGAAAGGUGAAAAGAACCCCGGGAGGGGAGUGAAACAGAACCUGAAACCGUACGCAAACAAACAGUGGGAGGGAGCGCUUGCGCUCCUGACCGCGUACCUUUUGCAUAAUGGGUCAGCGAGUUGCGCUUGCCGGCAAGGUUAACCGUAUAGGGAAGCCGCAGGGAAACCGAGUCUUAAUAGGGCGACACAGUCGACAGGCGCAGACCCGAAACCAGGUGAUCUAUCCAUGGACAGGUUGAAAGUUCGGUAACACGGGCUGGAGGACCGAACCCACUGAUGUUGCAAAAUCAGGGGAUGAUCUGUGGAUAGGGGUGAAAGGCCAAUCAAACCUGGAGAUAGCUGGUUCUCUCCGAAAACUAUUGAGGUAGUGCCUCGUGUUUAUCACUGCCGGGGGUAGAGCACUGUUAUGGCUAGGGGGUCACGCCGACUUACCAAACCAUGGCAAACUCCGAAUACCGGUAAGCGCAAUCACGGGAGACAGACAGCGGGUGCGAACGUCCGUUGUCAAGAGGGAAACAACCCAGACCGCCGUCUAAGGCCCCCAAGCCGUUGCUAAGUGGGAAACGAAGUGGGGGGGCACACACAGCCAGGAUGUUGGCUUAGAAGCAGCCAUCAUUUAAAGAAAGCGUAAUAGCUCACUGGUCUAGUCCCCCUGCGCGGAAAAUGUAACGGGGCUUAAGCAACGCGCCGAAGACGCGGGUGUCAGAAGGUUGAGUAAAGGGAAUUGCCCGCAAAGCCGGGCAGUUUUUACAAGGGCGGGGUUCUACCCGACUUCGCCCUGUUUGGUGGGAUUUGAGAAAUUCAGUGCCGAAUUCGGUAUAAUUUUCGACAUGAACAUCAACGCCAGCAAGGAGCUGCUUGCCACGCUUGCCUCCACCGUUGCCAUUAUCGCCUUUUUGGUGUCUUUGGCGACGCAAAUGGGCGAAAUGCGCGGCGCAAUAGAAGCCAACGGCAAGGCAAUUGCGGAGUUGCGCGACGAUGUGCGCGAUUUGCGCAACACGGUCGCCGCGAACACCGCGUCGGUCGCAGAAAUGCGCGGCACAUUGUUGUCGCACAUUGGCGGGCAUAACCAUGCGCCCGUUGUCGCCGAAGGCAAAGAGGAAGAGUGAUAUGCGCGCUUUUCCGUCAUGUGAAUUAAAGUUCCCUUUACUCAACCUUUUGACGCGGUAGGAGAGCGUUCCGUAAGCCAGUGAAGGCGGUUUGAAAGGGCCGCUGGAGGUAUCGGAAGUGAGAAUGCUGACAUGAGUAACGUUAAAACGGGUGAAAAACCCGUUCGCCGAAAGUCCCAGGUUUCCUGUGCAAUGUUAAUCAUCGCAGGGUUAGUCGAUUCCUAAGGCGAGGCCGAAAGGCGUAGUCGAUGGAAAACGGGUUAAUAUUCCCGUACCUUCGCAUGAUGCGAUGGGGUGACGGAGAGUGCUGCCUUGUCCGGGUGUUGGAAGUCCCGGUUCAAGCUGGUAGUUCAUUGAUGUUUCCAGGUAAAUCCGGAAACGGAGAAUGAGAAGCGACAACGACCGCUUUUUCGGAAGCGGGAAGCAAGUGACGCACGCUCCCAAGAAAAGCCUCUAAGCUUCAGUCAUGCGAGGAUCGUACCGCAAACCGACACUGGUGGACAGGAAGAAUAUUCCAAGGCGCUUGAGAGAACUCGGGUGAAGGAACUCGGCAAAAUGAUACCGUAACUUCGGGAGAAGGUAUGCCCCGACAAUGUGAAGUCCCUCGCGGACGGAGCAGUAAGGGGUCGAAGAGAAUUGGUGGCUGCGACUGUUUACUAAAAACACAGCACUCUGCAAACACGAAAGUGGAAGUAUAGGGUGUGACGCCUGCCCAAUGCCGGAAGGUUAAUUGACGGGGUUAGCCCUUAUGGGCGAAGCUCCUGAUCGAAGCCCCGGUCAAUGGCGGCCGUAACUAUAACGGUCCUAAGGUACCGAAAUUCCUUGUCGGGUAAGUUCCGACCUGCAGGAAUGGCGCAACGAUGGCCACACUGUCUCCACCCGAGACUCAGUGAAAUUGAAAUGAGUGUGCUGAUGCACCCUACCCGCUGUUAGACGGAAAGACCCCGUGCACCUUUACUGCAGCUUUGCAUUGAGUUUUGAAUAGGUUUGUGUAGGAUAGGUGGGAGGCGAUGAAGCCGAGGCGCCAGCUUCGGUGGAGCCAUCCUUGAAAUACCACCCUGAUUUAUUUGGAACCCUAACCUAGCCCCGUUAUCCGGGGCGGGGACCAUGCAUGGCGGGCAGUUUGACUGGGGCGGUCUCCUCCCAAAGAGUAACGGAGGAGCGCAAAGGUAUGCUUCGCUCGGUCGGAAAUCGAGCUGGACGUGCAAUGACAAAAGCAUGCUUGACUGCAAGAGUGACGGCUCAAGCAGGUGCGAAAGCAGGUCAUAGUGAUCCGGUGGCGCUUUAUGGAAGGGCCAUCGCUCAACGGAUAAAAGGUACGCCGGGGAUAACAGGCUAAUUCCUCCCAAGAGUCCACAUCGACGGAGGAGUUUGGCACCUCGAUGUCGGCUCAUCACAUCCUGGGGCUGUAGCAGGUCCCAAGGGUAUGGCUGUUCGCCAUUUAAAGUGGUACGUGAGCUGGGUUUAGAACGUCGUGAGACAGUUCGGUCCCUAUCUGCAGUGGGCGCUGGAAAUUUGAAGGGAUCUGCUCCUAGUACGAGAGGACCGGAGUGGACGAACCUCUGGUGUACCGGUUGUCGCGCCAGCGGCAUUGCCGGGUGGCUAUGUUCGGAAUGGAUAACCGCUGAAAGCAUCUAAGUGGGAAGCCAACCCUGAGACGAGAUUUCCCGAGGGCUUGACCCUCCUGAAGACCCCUUGAAGACGACGAGGUUGAUAGGUCGGAUGUGGAAGUGCGGCAACGCAUUAAGCUAACCGAUACUAAUUGGUCGUGCGGCUUGGUUCC
RNAcentral lists this ribosomal RNA (2903 nucleotides) under Halisarca caerulea. RNAcentral's name for it is "bacterial LSU rRNA". It matches the Rfam family "Bacterial large subunit ribosomal RNA", at positions 498 to 2925 of the family's 2925-position model. Lineage: Eukaryota; Metazoa; Porifera; Demospongiae; Chondrillida; Halisarcidae. The record is from RNAcentral.